Molecule: ribosomal RNA, 468 nt
Filed under: uncultured bacterium
Lineage: Bacteria
Description: partial 16S ribosomal RNA
Rfam family: Bacterial small subunit ribosomal RNA
Source: RNAcentral
GACGAACGCUGGCGGCGUGCUUAACACAUGCCAGUCGAACGGAAAGGCCCUGCUUUUGUGGGGUGCUCGAGUGGCGAACGGGUGAGUAACACGUGAGUAACCUGCCCUUGACUUUGGGAUAACUUCAGGAAACUGGGGCUAAUACCGGAUAGGAGCUCCUGCUGCAUGGUGGGGGUUGGAAAGUUUCGGCGGUUGGGGAUGGACUCGCGGCUUAUCAGCUUGUUGGUGGGGUAGUGGCUUACCAAGGCUUUGACGGGUAGCCGGCCUGAGAGGGUGACCGGCCACAUGGGGACUGAGAGACGGACCAGAAUGCUACGGGAGGCAGUAGGGGGGAAUAUUGCAGAAUGGGCGGAAGCCUGAUGCAGCAACGUCGCGUGCGGGAUGACGGCCUACGGGUUGUAAACCGCUUUCGCCGGUGACGAAGAGUGAGUGACGGUAAUGGGUAAAGAAGCAACGGCUAACUACGUG